This is a long non-coding RNA of Gordionus sp. m RMFG-2023, 430 nucleotides long. RefSeq lists it as uncharacterized. NCBI's taxonomy places the organism in Eukaryota, Metazoa, Nematomorpha, Gordioida, Chordodea, Parachordodidae. The record is from RefSeq and is a predicted model, not a curated record. The transcript has 3 exons.
UUGGACGCUCGUGGUUCCUAUUGUGCUUGUAACAAACGUACGCCUCCAUGUUUAACGGCUCCGCCCUCAGAUUGCAAAGGUGACCUAAUUUUGGACGAAUGUGGAUGCUGCUACGUUUGCGCCAAAGUGAAAGGCGAAGUGUGUUUGGAACAAUAUGGACCAAUGAAAAAAUGUUCCAGCGGAUUAAUAUGUAUACUAGAUAACUAAAACGACCAAUUUUUUGCAAAAGGGAUCUGCACAACGGAAUACCCUAGAGAGGAAGGAGAAGCAUGCAGUGUAGGUCAUAUGCAAGGGAAUUGCAAAAAGGGAUUGAAAUGUGAACAUUAUCAUCCAUCCAUGAUGGGUAAAUGCGUCAAAAAUUCAUAGAUAAUAAAUGUGUUAUUCCAAAAAAAAUUUUAAAUAAAUAAUCUUCAAAUUUUAGUGUUUAAUA